RNAcentral lists this ribosomal RNA (251 nucleotides) under uncultured prokaryote. RNAcentral describes it as "partial 16S ribosomal RNA". It matches the Rfam family "Bacterial small subunit ribosomal RNA", at positions 525 to 775 of the family's 1533-position model. The record is from RNAcentral.
ACGUAGGUGGCAAGCGUUAUCCGGAUUCACUGGGCGUAAAGGGUCCGUAGGUGGUUGGGAGGGUCUGGUGUGAAAGCGCCCGGCUCAACCGGGCGAGGACGUACCGAACUGCGGGACUAGAGGCAGGGAGAGGCGUGUGGAACUCCGGGUGUAGUGGUGAAAUGCGUAGAGAUCCGGAGGAACACCAGUGGCGAAGGCGACGCGCUGGGCCUGGCCUGACGCUAAGACGCGAAAGCAUGGGGAGCGAACGG